Molecule: transfer RNA, 73 nt
Filed under: Gambelia wislizenii (Longnose leopard lizard)
Lineage: Eukaryota; Metazoa; Chordata; Lepidosauria; Squamata; Crotaphytidae
Description: tRNA-Gln
Rfam family: tRNA
About the family: Transfer RNA (tRNA) molecules are approximately 80 nucleotides in length. Their secondary structure includes four short double-helical elements and three loops (D, anti-codon, and T loops).
Source: RNAcentral
UAUUAGGGGGUAGCAUAAUGGAGUGCUUGAGAUUUUGAGUCUCUCGGUGUGGGUUCAAGUCCCAUUCUUCUAA